GUUGAUAGCCAUACCAUCCUGAACAUACCCAUGCACAUCUGAUCUCAGGAGCUAAGCAGGGUCAGCCUGGUUGAUACUUGGAUUAAUGGUCACCUGGGUACCUACGUAGGCUGCUACUU
RNAcentral lists this ribosomal RNA (119 nucleotides) under Mesocricetus auratus (golden hamster). The record is from RNAcentral. Lineage: Eukaryota; Metazoa; Chordata; Mammalia; Rodentia; Cricetidae.